This 147-nucleotide unclassified non-coding RNA is filed under the name uncultured Meliniomyces. Its description in RNAcentral is "sequence contains ITS2". Lineage: Eukaryota; Fungi; Ascomycota; Leotiomycetes; Helotiales; Helotiaceae. The record is from RNAcentral.
GCACCACUCAAGCCUAGCUUGGUGUUAGGGCUCGCGGUUCCCCGCGGCCCUCAAAUGCAGUGGUAGUGCUGUCUCGAGCCCUAAGCGUAGUAAUUUUUCCUCGCUACAGAGCCGGGCAGCGUCUGCUAGACAACCCCAACUUUUCUA